AACCGAGAACAAAAAAAGAGAGGUUCGUGGUUUCUUAGAUAGAUUGAACUAUAUGUCAUGGUUCACAUCUCGUCUAACAGCCACGAGGGAACCCAUUCAAGAAAAAAGAUCAAACGGUCAGGUGAAAUAAUGAUUGCCAAGGGGCAUGGAAAGAAUAAAAGAAUAAGUCGUAGGAACCUCUGAUUCUGAUGCCUUAUGUGGAGGGAGAAAUUGUUAAUCUGGUACUUGACGGCCUUCGAGGGGUCUACGAGGUGUAUUGGGUCAGCAUGACGAGUCUUG
This 279-nucleotide long non-coding RNA is filed under the name Lathyrus oleraceus (garden pea). Its description in RNAcentral is "Pisum sativum (pea) long non-coding RNA (PSAT_LNC037417)". The record is from RNAcentral. Lineage: Eukaryota; Viridiplantae; Streptophyta; Magnoliopsida; Fabales; Fabaceae.